Molecule: ribosomal RNA, 490 nt
Filed under: uncultured bacterium
Lineage: Bacteria
Description: partial 16S ribosomal RNA
Rfam family: Bacterial small subunit ribosomal RNA
Source: RNAcentral
GAUGAACGCUAGCUACAGGCUUAACACAUGCAAGUCGCGGGGCGGCAUGGGGGUUGCUUGCAAUCCCCGAUGGCGACCGGCGCACGGGUGAGUAACGCGUAUCCAACCUGCCCUUCACCACGGGAUAACCCGGCGAAAGUCGGACUAAUACCGUAUGUUGUCCAUUGACGGCAUCCGAUCUGGACGAAAGGCUUGGCGGUGAGGGAUGGGGAUGCGUCCGAUUAGCCAGACGGCGGGGUAACGGCCCACCGUGGCUACGAUCGGUAGGGGUUCUGAGAGGAAGGUCCCCCACACUGGAACUGAGACACGGUCCAGACUCCUACGGGAGGCAGCAGUGAGGAAUAUUGGUCAAUGGGCGUAAGCCUGAACCAGCCAAGUAGCGUGCAGGAUGACGGCCCUAUGGGUUGUAAACUGCUUUUAUGCGGGGAUAAAGUGGCCCACGUGUGGGCUUUUGCAGGUACCGCAUGAAUAAGGACCGGCUAAUUCCGUG